Molecule: ribosomal RNA, 562 nt
Filed under: uncultured bacterium
Lineage: Bacteria
Description: bacterial SSU rRNA
Rfam family: Bacterial small subunit ribosomal RNA
Source: RNAcentral
GACGAACGUUGGCGGUGCGCUUAAUGCAUGCAAGUCGAGGGAGAACCGCUCGGUCCGUAAGGACCAGGCGGGGAAACCGGCGAACGGGUGCGUAACACGUGAGGAACCUGCCCCGAAGUCCGGGAUAGCCCGGGGAAACCCCGGGAUCAAUACCGGAUGCCUUCGCGGAACCGUAUGGCUCUGCGAAGAAAGGUCCGCCGCUUCGGGAUGGUCUCGCGGCCUAUCAGGUUGUUGGUGAGGUAACGGCUCACCAAGCCGGAGACGGGUAGCUGGUCUGAGAGGACGAUCAGCCACGCUGGGACUGAGACACGGCCCAGACUCCUACGGGAGGCAGCAGCAGGGAAUAUUGCACAAUGGGCGAAGCCUGAUGCAGCGACACCGCGUGCGGGAUGAAGGCCUCGGGUUGUAAACCGCUUUCAGGAGGGACGAAACUGACGGUACCUCCAGAAGAAGCCCCGGCCAACUACGUGCCAGCAGCCGCGGUAACACGUAGGGGGCCGAACGUUGUCCCGGAUUUAUUGGGCCGUAAAGGGCUCGUAGGCGGUUCAACAAGCCGGCCGUG